RNAcentral lists this ribosomal RNA (253 nucleotides) under uncultured bacterium. Its description in RNAcentral is "partial 16S ribosomal RNA". It matches the Rfam family "Bacterial small subunit ribosomal RNA", at positions 524 to 776 of the family's 1533-position model. The record is from RNAcentral.
GACGUAGGGGGCAAGCGUUGUCCGGAUUUAUUGGGCGUAAAGAGCGUGUAGGCGGCCUGAAAGGUCAGCUGUGAAAACUCGAGGCUCAACCUCGAGACGUCGGUUGAAACCAUCUGGCUAGAGUCCGGAAGAGGAGUGUGGAAUUCCCGGUGUAGCGGUGAAAUGCGCAGAUAUCGGGAAGAACACCCGUGGCGAAGGCGGCACUCUGGGACGGUACUGACGCUGAGACGCGAAAGCGUGGGGAGCGAACAGG